RNAcentral lists this ribosomal RNA (253 nucleotides) under uncultured bacterium. RNAcentral's name for it is "partial 16S ribosomal RNA". It matches the Rfam family "Bacterial small subunit ribosomal RNA", at positions 524 to 776 of the family's 1533-position model. The record is from RNAcentral.
UACGUAGGGUGCGAGCGUUAAUCGGAAUUACUGGGCGUAAAGCGUGCGCAGGCGGUUCGUGAUGUCUGGUGUGAAAGCCCCGGGCUUAACCUGGGAAUUGCAUUGGAAACUAGCGGGCUGGAGGGUGGGAGAGGGAUGUGGAAUUCCGGGUGUAGUGGUGAAAUGCGUAGAGAUCCGGAGGAACCCCAGAGGCGAAGGCGGCAUCCUGGCCCACGACUGACACUCAGACACGACAGCAUGGGGAGCGAACGGG